UUUGAGUCCUUUUGAAUGAUAGAAAAUGAUUCCGUAUUCUAGAAGACAAGACUUAAGAAAGCUUCACCUGGUAGGUUUCUUAUAGAAUUGGAUAAUCCUACGAGUUGACAAUAACAUAAUGAAUAUUGUAAGCUAUUAGGUGUUUUGAUGAUGACAAAUUAGAUCACUUCAAAUAUCAAACCUGUCAAGUGUUUCCAUCUGUUACACAAGCCUCUAAUCUUCCUUUCCUUCUCCUUGUGUCUCUGUUGCCUCAAUUAUAUCAAUAAAUUCAGCGCUUGUUUCUAAAGAAAAAGGAAAAAUGGAUGCACCAGCUUAUCAAGAGAUGUCAUAUACUGAUCAUGUUAAGAGGCGCCAUGAGGAGAAAGGCUGCCUCUAUGCUUGCUUGUUUGCUCUGUGUUGCUGUUUUUGCUGCUACGAGACUUGUGAAUGUUGCUUAGAUAUUCUCUGCUGCUGCUGCUAAAACACUAGUCUGGCUUCGGUUUGCUUUUAUCAUUUGCCAUUAAUAAUUACUGCUGUUAUUGUUAUCGUCUCCUCUCAGUGACAACUGAGCCCGUAGAAGAGAGUGACUCUGUAUCUGUUCGGUAAAUAAAAUCUCAAGUCAUAACUCUCUGAAACCCGUGUGUCAUGUCUUAACUAUGUUAUUCUGCUAGAUAAUUUUAUAAAUAAAAGUUUUCAACAAUCA
Molecule: long non-coding RNA, 682 nt
Organism: Hevea brasiliensis (rubber tree)
Lineage: Eukaryota; Viridiplantae; Streptophyta; Magnoliopsida; Malpighiales; Euphorbiaceae
Exons: 2
Source: RefSeq, a predicted model, not a curated record